UACGUAGGGUGCGAGCGUUAAUCGGAAUUACUGGGCGUAAAGCGUGCGCAGGCGGUCUGUUAAGACCGAUGUGAAAUCCCCGGGCUUAACCUGGGAACUGCAUUGGUGACUGGCAGGCUUUGAGUGUGGCAGAGGGAGGUAGAAUUCCACGUGUAGCAGUGAAAUGCGCAGAGAUGUGGAGGAAUACCGAUGGCGAAGGCAGCCUCCUGGGCCAACACUGACGCUCAUGCACGAAAGCGUGGGGAGCAAACAGG
RNAcentral lists this ribosomal RNA (254 nucleotides) under uncultured bacterium. Its description in RNAcentral is "partial 16S ribosomal RNA". It matches the Rfam family "Bacterial small subunit ribosomal RNA", at positions 524 to 776 of the family's 1533-position model. The record is from RNAcentral.